This 301-nucleotide ribosomal RNA is filed under the name uncultured bacterium. RNAcentral describes it as "partial 16S ribosomal RNA". It matches the Rfam family "Bacterial small subunit ribosomal RNA", at positions 509 to 809 of the family's 1533-position model. The record is from RNAcentral.
CAGUCGCCACGGGAAUACGAAGGGGGCUAGCGUUGCUCGGAAUGACUGGGCGUAAAGGGCGCGUAGGCGGCGAUCAAAGUCAGGCGUGAAAUUCCUGGGCUCAACCUGGGGGCUGCGUUUGAUACUUGGUUGCUAGAGUGAGGAAGAGGGUCGUGGAAUUCCCAGUGUAGAGGUGAAAUUCGUAGAUAUUGGGAAGAACACCGGUGGCGAAGGCGGCGACCUGGUCCUUGACUGACGCUGAGGCGCGAAAGCGUGGGGAGCAAACAGGAUUAGAUACCCCAGUAGUCCCUGUCUCUUAUAA